AGCUGGGCUUCAGACCCUGUGCAUUUAACCACAAGGCUGUAACUGCCUGCUUCUGGGGCUGCUCUUGGGGAAGAAAGAAUUCAAGAAAACCCACCAACCAACCCCCUACAUGUAACAGACUCUGCAAGGGUUAUAACAGAGGCAGGGCCUGGCAUGACUCAACCCAACCUGGUUGGAUGAAUGACACAUUGGCAGGUGGCAAAGCCCACAGAGGAUGGACCCUGAAGGAAGCUACAGAUCUUCGAGCCUUGUCACAACGUUGGGACUUGAGCCCACAGGUUAGGGGGGUUACAUGGGCAGGUCAUGCUCGCUGUGUGUGACCGUCACAGAGGAGCUCAAGAGCAAGGAGUUGGCUGGAAGGAGCAGCUUCUGCGUUUUUAUCCUCUUGGGCAACAGGACUCCUCAAAGUUAAUCUCGCCUCUGGGUUGGCAUCAUAGAGGUGUCCACCUGGGGCACCCGACUCGGAUAGCGUCACCAUGCGUUCACCAACCAGAAACACAAGAGUGA
Molecule: long non-coding RNA, 507 nt
Filed under: Sus scrofa (pig)
Lineage: Eukaryota; Metazoa; Chordata; Mammalia; Artiodactyla; Suidae
Description: lncRNA (ENSSSCG00060028451.1)
Source: RNAcentral